This 327-nucleotide ribosomal RNA is filed under the name uncultured eukaryote. RNAcentral describes it as "partial 18S ribosomal RNA". It matches the Rfam family "Eukaryotic small subunit ribosomal RNA", at positions 1470 to 1796 of the family's 1831-position model. The record is from RNAcentral.
CCCUUAGAUGUUCUGGGCCGCACGCGCGCUACACUGAUUCAUGCAACAAGUUUUGUCCUUGGCUGAUAGGCCUGGGUAAUCUUUGAACGUGAAUCGUGAUGGGGAUAGAUGAUCGCAAUUAUUCAUCUUCAACGAGGAAUUCCUAGUAAACGCAAGUCAUCAGCUUGCAUUGAUUACGUCCCUGCCCUUUGUACACACCGCCCGUCGCACCUACCGAUUGAAUGGUCCGGUGAAAUCUUCGGAUCUGAGAGAUGUCUGAUUAAUUUCGGACGCCUUUUGGAAAAGUUGUUUAAACCUUACCAUUUAGAGGAAGGUGAAGUCGUAACA